This 492-nucleotide ribosomal RNA is filed under the name uncultured bacterium. Its description in RNAcentral is "partial 16S ribosomal RNA". It matches the Rfam family "Bacterial small subunit ribosomal RNA", at positions 29 to 507 of the family's 1533-position model. The record is from RNAcentral.
AGUGAACGCUGGCGGUAGGCCUAACACAUGCAAGUCGAACGGCAGCACAGUAAGAGCUUGCUCUUACGGGUGGCGAGUGGCGGACGGGUGAGGAAUACAUCGGAAUCUACUUUUUCGUGGGGGAUAACGUAGGGAAACUUACGCUAAUACCGCAUACGACCUACGGGUGAAAGCGGGGGAUCUUCGGACCUUGCGCGAUUGAAUGAGCCGCUGUCGGAUUAGCUAGUUGGCGGGGUAAAGGCCCACCAAGGCGACGAUCCGUAGCUGGUCGGAGAGGAUGAUCAGCGACACUGGAACUGAGACACGGUCCAGACUCCUACGGGAGGCAGCAGUGGGGAAUAGUGGACAAUGGGCGCAAGCCUGAUCCAGCCAGACCGCGUGGGUGAAGAAGGCCUUCGGGUUGUAAAGCCCUUUUGUUGGGAAAGAAAAGCAGCAGGUUAAUACCCCGCUGUUCUGACGGUACCCAAAGAAUAAGCACCGGCUAACUUCGUG